Molecule: ribosomal RNA, 2571 nt
Filed under: Triticum aestivum (bread wheat)
Lineage: Eukaryota; Viridiplantae; Streptophyta; Magnoliopsida; Poales; Poaceae
Description: partial small subunit ribosomal RNA
Source: RNAcentral
CAGAUCAACAGAUGAUGCCUAUCUUUUGAUUAAUAUGCCUAGCACCGUCUCAAGAAGGUUAGUGGAUACGGCACGCGUCGGUCCCGCCAAGGGUAAGAGCCCUCCGGUCGCCGUCCCCAGUGAGAAGGGAUGCCCGAUGCCGGCACUCGACCUAUGCCACCAGCCCAUCUUCGCCUCCUCCAGAAAGGGCAACUGCCCUAAGUCAAGUUGCCAUCGCCGCGACGGCCCAGAUUGGCGUUGGAGUAGCGAUCCCGCCACGAGCAGGUGCAGCGUCGUGAUGCGCGGCCCCAGUCGUGAUGGGUGCGGAGGGCGAGAGAGGUGGCCGAAGCAGCACAUUAGGACGUUGUCGUUCGACCACGUUCUCCAAUCACUCCAGAGAUAUCCUCUCCGCGACUGUACAACCAGAACACAGAGGAGAUCAGUAGGGGGUAAGAGCGCUGGGGCGCUAACUUAGAUCUAGGCCUCUAAAGUGCCCGACGGCUGCUCAGCGGUAUCAAAUUGACGUUAGCCAGAGUAGACAUUCAAAACAGUGACGGAGAUGGAGUACGCGGGUAUUCGAGCACGAGGCGGGACGGAGAGGCAUGGACCGGCGGAGGUAGCGGAGAGUGCCGUAGGGAUGGAUAAAACUAUCUGACGUUAAACAAAGACAGUACUUAUUACGUAAUCUUAUAAAACACACACUACUUGAACUGUAGAUGCCCAUAUACCAUUUAACACCAUUCCAUUAAGGUACAUUUCACUAGGGAAAUCGGAUAAGUUUACUCUCGUCUUCCUCUGCUGGUACAAUACACUUUAAUUUUUUAAAUACAGUUCCGGAAUAUUAUAAUCUCGUUAGUUACGUAUAGAAAGACUUUUCCUCUUCUCAUAGUCAUCGAGUUAAACAGCUCACGUGUCAGGUUGUAAUAGAGUCAACAUAAAAAAUCAACAACAAACCCUUGACAUUAUAGUAUAGACUUCCAAUUUCACUGAGAGUUAAUUAUGCUACUGGUACAAGAACAACAUAAAGUCAAUACACACGUUUAGUCUAAAACUCAAGAGGACCAAAUUAAUUCUUGGUCUAGUCAAUACAUAAGUAGGUGAGAGGAGAAAGAAAAACACUAGUGACUUUUUCGAACCAGAUAAACUGCACUUUUUCUACCGUCUUACACAUUGGUACUAUAAAAGGAUUGUAGUUUAACUAAACCAACGUCCUAAGUAAGCCGUGGUGUACAUCUACGUAGCACUUGUUUCCAAGUAAAUACCUAAAGAUCUUCUAUUUUUUUCCUUAUAAACACAGAUGGCCGGACGUAAUACGAAAUUUUACACAAACGAGUAUAGUUUUUCUAAAACCAGUUCUUUUUUCAUCUCAAAUAGAGGAGGCAAUGCAACUUAGUUCAAAAUCUUGUUUUAAUUAACUAUAAAUCAAACGUAGGUUUUAAAAGGAAAUCAAAAUGUAUCACAACAACACUACGUACAUUGACCCAUACUCUUCUUUGAGAACAAGACAACAAGUAUAUUAAGGAACGAAUGUAAAAAGACAGGUAAAACGUAUAAUUAUCGAGAACGAAAAAUUAUCCAGUAGCUCAAAGAAACACUGUUGACGUCAAAACGUGUAAAGAUUUAAUAAGAGAACUAUACUUCCCGUACCUUUAUUCUCUAGUUUAAAAGGAAGAGUAAGAGUACGCUGAGGACUAUAAACUGGAUAGUCGAUACACGUAGACCCGAAAGUAUGUACAAUAAAUCGAAUGCCACUCUAGACGUAGAAACAUAACGUCCACCAACAGUUAGACGAAAAAGAUUGUUGUAACCCUUCCCACGAGAAUCCGCUACAACAAGGAAUACGACUAUCAAGGUCAUAAGGUGGUGUGAACAACUAUAAUGAACACAUCCGAAUGAAGUCUUCAAGUCGAGGGAAGAACCCAAGGGCAUCUCCUUCUCUGAGAGUAGAGGAGAAUCGACGUUACCUGCUCAGUUAUACGGGAUCCUUCAACACCUGUAGCAUCCACACAGGUGGAAUAGUACCACGCACGUAGGUACUAUCUCUGUUCACUUAGUUCAUUAAGCCAUACUUGAAGAACUCACGUACCCCAUGAUUUCCACGUUGUUGUAGUUCCUGACACGGUGCUCCUUGUCAACCUCGCCAGCACCUUUGUAGCCCCUACGAAUAGUAGUGGGUACUCCUGCCUGUGUUGGUGCACGUCGACGAGAUGAACAGCCACGAGUGGCGUUUAAGAUUUCGGACUGACUUCGAUGCUUACCGUUUUCUGCUAUCUUCUUGAGAUUUAAAAAUACGGUACUACCUUGUCUAGUAAAUCGAUGAGAAACCAAUAAAUCAGACUGUUUUCUAGUCUUACGUUCACUUUAAACAUUGUGGUUCCGUUUAUAAAAGGGCGAUAUAAAAAGUACUACAUAUUAUCUAUCAUGAACUAACCCCACGUUAUGUAAAUGGAAAACUUUAUAAGACAGCUAUUUUAACGAGGUACGGUAACAGUUUAACGGAACACGUACGCGCGCGCACACGCACGCACGCACACACACAAAUCGUUUAACACUAUCCGAACAGUUAUCCACAGAAACAACGCUCAUAGGCUC